This 464-nucleotide ribosomal RNA is filed under the name uncultured bacterium. Its description in RNAcentral is "bacterial SSU rRNA". It matches the Rfam family "Bacterial small subunit ribosomal RNA", at positions 224 to 704 of the family's 1533-position model. The record is from RNAcentral.
GAACGGCCUGCGUCCGAUUAGCUUGUUGGUAGUGUAAUGGACUACCAAGGCGAUGAUCGGUAGCUGGUCUGAGAGGAUGAUCAGCCAGACUGGGACUGAGACACGGCCCAGACUCCUACGGGAGGCAGCAGUAGGGAAUUUUCCACAAUGGGCGAAAGCCUGAUGGAGCAACGCCGCGUGCAGGAUGAAUGCCUUCGGGUUGUAAACUGCUUUUAUUAGUGACGAUUAUGACGGUAACUAAUGAAUAAGGACCUGCUAACUACGUGCCAGCAGCCGCGGUCAUACGUAGGGUCCAGGCGUUAUCCGGAAUUACUGGGCGUAAAGAGUUGCGUAGGUGGCAGAGUAAGUAGAUAGUGAAAGCGUGUGGCUCAACCAUACAUCCAUUAUCUAAACUGUUCAGCUAGAAGACGAGAGAGGUAGAUGGAAUUCCUGAUGUAGGGGUAAUAUCCGUAGAUAUUAGGAGG